CCUACGGGAGGCAGCAGUGGGGAAUAUUGGACAAUGGGCGAAAGCCUGAUCCAGCAAUGCCGCGUGAGUGAUGAAGGCCUUAGGGUUGUAAAGCUCUUUUACCAGGGAUGAUAAUGACAGUACCUGGAGAAUAAGCUCCGGCUAACUCCGUGCCAGCAGCCGCGGUAAUACGGAGGGAGCUAGCGUUGUUCGGAAUUACUGGGCGUAAAGCGUACGUAGGCGGUUAUUCAAGUCAGAGGUGAAAGCCUGGAGCUCAACUCCAGAACUGCCUUUGAAACUAGAUAGCUAGAAUCUUGGAGAGGUGAGUGGAAUUCCGAGUGUAGAGGUGAAAUUCGUAGAUAUUCGGAAGAACACCAGUGGCGAAGGCGACUCACUGGACAAGUAUUGACGCUGAGGUACGAAAGCGUGGGGAGCAAACAGGAUUAGAUACCCUGGUAGUCCACGCCGUAAACGAUGAUAACUAGCUGUUCGGGCUCUACGAGCUUGAGUGGCGCAGACUACGACAUUAAGUUAUCCGCCGUCGGGAGGUACGGUCGCGAAGAAUUAAAACUUAAAAUUAAGUAAGUUAGUACGGACGUGAGACGUAGCCGAACGGACGACGACGAAGGGGAAGGUUAGG
Molecule: ribosomal RNA, 619 nt
Filed under: uncultured bacterium
Lineage: Bacteria
Description: bacterial SSU rRNA
Rfam family: Bacterial small subunit ribosomal RNA (bases 1-519)
Source: RNAcentral